This is a non-coding RNA of Anaeramoeba ignava, 71 nucleotides long. Lineage: Eukaryota; Anaeramoebidae. The record is from the annotation of a GenBank genome assembly.
GGGUUAUUGGUCUAAUGGCAUGAUUCGUGCUUUGGGCGCACGAGGCUGGGGUUCGAUUCCCUAAUAACCCC